CCUACGGGGUGCAGCAGUGAGGAAUAUUGGUCAAUGGGCGCGAGCCUGAACCAGCCAAGUAGCGUGAAGGAUGACUGCCCUACGGGUUGUAAACUUCUUUUAUAAAGGAAUAAAGUGAGGCACGUGUGCCUUUUUGUAUGUACUUUAUGAAUAAGGAUCGGCUAAUUCCGUGCCAGCAGCCGCGUUAAUACGGAGGAUCCGCGCGUUAUCCGGAUUUAUUUGGUUUAAAGGGAGCGUAGGUUGGUUGUUAGGGCAGUCGUGAAAGUUUGCGGCUCAACCGUAAAAUUGCCAUGGAUACUGGCAGUCUUGAGUACAGGUGAGGUAGGCGGAAUUCGUGGUGUAGCGGUGAAAUGCUUAGAUAUCACGAAGAACUCCGAUUGCGAAGGCAGCUUACUAAACUGCCACUGACAUUGAUGCUCGAAGGUGUGGGUAUCAAACAGGAUUAGAUACCCUAGUAGUC
This 460-nucleotide ribosomal RNA is filed under the name uncultured bacterium. Its description in RNAcentral is "partial 16S ribosomal RNA". It matches the Rfam family "Bacterial small subunit ribosomal RNA", at positions 338 to 795 of the family's 1533-position model. The record is from RNAcentral.